This 669-nucleotide ribosomal RNA is filed under the name uncultured bacterium. RNAcentral's name for it is "bacterial SSU rRNA". It matches the Rfam family "Bacterial small subunit ribosomal RNA", at positions 724 to 1397 of the family's 1533-position model. The record is from RNAcentral.
ACGGGCGGUGAGUGCAACUGACGCUGAGGCUCGAAAGUGUGGGUAUCAAACAGGAUUAGAUACCCUGGUAGUCCACACAGUAAACGAUGAAUACUCGCGGUUGGUUCGUUAGAGUCAGCCGCCAAGCGAAAGCGUUAAGUAUUCCACCUGGGGAGUACGCCGGCAACGGUGAAACUCAAAGGAAUUGACGGGGGCCCGCACAAGCGGAGGAACAUGUGGUUUAAUUCGAUGAUACGCGAGGAACCUUACCCGGGCUUGAACUGCCAGUGACUCAUGCAGAGACGCAUGUUUCUUCGGACACUGGCGGAGGUGCUGCAUGGUUGUCGUCAGCUCGUGCCGUGAGGUGUCGGCUUAAGUGCCAUAACGAGCGCAACCCUUCUCCCUGUUUGCCAUCGGGUUAAGCCGGGCACUCCAGGGACACUGCCAUCGUAAGAUGUGAGGAAGGUGGGGAUGACGUCAAAUCAGCACGGCCCUUACGUCCGGGGCUACACACGUGUUACAAUGGGCGGUACAGAAAGCAGCUACCCCGCGAGGGGAUGCCAAUCUCAAAAACCGUUCUCAGUUCGGACUGGAGUCUGCAACCCGACUCCACGAAGCUGGAUUCGCUAGUAAUCGCGCAUCAGCCAUGGCGCGGUGAAUACGUUCCCGGGCCUUGUACACACCGCCCGU